UCACCCUCGUAUCUUGGAACUACAUACUGAGGCUGUCCAAUGACUCACACUAUAAUGCUAAAAAAUCAAGCCAUGUAGUCCUCGGUAUAUGGAUGGCCUCUCAAAAUAUGAUCAUCAUGAACUAUGUGAUCUCGGCAUGCAUUUCAAAUAAUGAUGUACUCUGUAUGUCUGAUACGUCAGCCAAUACGAGCUCUCCCUCGUC
This 202-nucleotide long non-coding RNA is filed under the name Elaeis guineensis (African oil palm). RNAcentral describes it as "long non-coding RNA (EGUI_LNC042299)". The record is from RNAcentral. Lineage: Eukaryota; Viridiplantae; Streptophyta; Magnoliopsida; Arecales; Arecaceae.